This 253-nucleotide ribosomal RNA is filed under the name uncultured bacterium. RNAcentral describes it as "partial 16S ribosomal RNA". It matches the Rfam family "Bacterial small subunit ribosomal RNA", at positions 524 to 776 of the family's 1533-position model. The record is from RNAcentral.
UACGUAGGGUGCGAGCGUUGUCCGGAAUUAUUGGGCGUAAAGAGCUUGUAGGCGGUUUGUCGCGUCUGCCGUGAAAAUCCGGGGCUCAACCCCGGACUUGCGGUGGGUACGGGCAGACUAGAGUGUGGUAGGGGAGACUGGAAUUCCUGGUGUAGCGGUGAAAUGCGCAGAUAUCAGGAGGAACACCGAUGGCGAAGGCAGGUCUCUGGGCCGUAACUGACGCUGAGGAGCGAAAGCGUGGGGAGCGAACAGG